Molecule: long non-coding RNA, 2049 nt
Organism: Cygnus atratus (black swan)
Lineage: Eukaryota; Metazoa; Chordata; Aves; Anseriformes; Anatidae
Exons: 6
Source: RefSeq, a predicted model, not a curated record
UUGGAUGGCAAUAUAGUAAAUGAAUCAGCUGAGCUACUGAUGGAGAAAAGCUCCAACAAAAUUCAAUUCCAACGUGAUAAGAGUGCGGCCUUUGACUCACGAAGCCCUUAUAAACGGAAGAUUGCCAGACUAUCUGGAGGUCGAGAAUAUGUCAUUUCAUCCUUGUACUGUUACUACAGCCUUUCUCUAAGAACCUCCUUGACUGAAGGGAUCUUUGUAAUCCGGUCUGGCCAUUCUUGCCUUCGUGUGGCAUGCGGAAAAGGGGUAAGAGAGUCAAUACUCUCUCAGAGACUAGGCAUGUAAUGCCGGUUUAUCAGCUACACUGAUUUACCCAGACACUACGGUAUGAAGACCCGAGAUACAGAACAGAGGGGCAAUGACAUACAAUACCUGUAAAUGGAUUAUAAAUUUGUGUGGCAGUGGCUUGCCUGAGCCUCACAGCAAGUUGUUAGCAGUGCAGGAACAGGAGAAAGCUGUCUUGGACCAAGACUUACAUGUGAAGCACAGUUAAUUGGUAUGUCACCAUUCCAUGCCACCUGAUACUACAAAUGUUGUCAUACAUUCUUCAUUGUCAUUCUGGUGUGAGAUGCUGUGGAGCUGUAAACAUAGCUCACUUGUCAAAUGGACUCAUAACACUGCUGUAAAAGGUGGCCGUGCAUAGGAAAAACUGACAGCAAGUGGAGUUGUUGCAUGGUUCAUGUUAAAGAAAUCUCCUAUAACAGCAUUAAGGCUGAGAAAAGUCUGUUGCGCUGUUGCAGCCUCAGACAACAGUUAUAAAAGGCAGCACGGAUCACUUCUUUGUGUAAUGAUUUAGACAUGAGAUCAAAGACUGAUGUUUUCAAAGUGGUGGUGUCAAUUCCAGUCAAUAGCUCACUGCUGUGCUGUGGCAUUAAGCCAGGAGGUGGUAGCCUAUGGCAAGACCUUCCCAUCAGAAUACCCCGCUGCUCUGCGACGCUAUGAAAUAAUGUGCAGCCAUGGGCUACCACAACUUGCAAUUCCAAAAAAAAUUACCCUCACAGGGUUUGCUUCUGGGAGCAAGCAACAGAACUUCACAGGAGCUUGAGGACUCUGUGGCCCUGUGUGGGCUUGGCCCUGGGAAAACCAUUCCCAUCUCUUCAGAUCUCUAUAUCUUCUGAGAUGCUCUGGUGUCUCACUGAGUUCUACCGAAGAAGCUAUAUCAUUCAGUGAAGUUAAUGUUUGGAAGUAGCAAGCAUGAAGAAAGGAAAGAAGAAUUUACAGAUAUUUCCUGCAACAACAUGGCUUAAGCACUGGCUUUUCAGAAAGCUUCUUCCUCCCCACAGCACUGCGGUCUGGUGUCCCUCACACAGGAGUGACUCCACAAGUAUUAAGGGAGCACAAUGGAGGUAGAAGGAUGUCCAGAAUAUCUGCAUGUAGAGCCCCUGUGGUGAAGUCUGUCCUGCUAAAGAGUCCAGUUGCCUCCAUCAGAUCUUUGUUGACAUGAGGUGACCUGCCCGAACAAAACUCAAGGUCACCCUGAUGCCCACACCCCUUGUUUGCACAUAGCUACUGACUUUUUGUUGGAGGAUGGCUGGGGCUUGGGGCAGGGCUUCCACAGCUCCGUCGUGUCCCGGUCCUUUCAAAAUUCGUUCUGUUGGUCAUUAGUCCGGCAGAUGUUUUGAAGCUGAUUCUUGGGCGGCAAAUGCAGCAGUAGAGUUGUGCAGGGAGACCUUCAAAGCUAGUUGAGCAGAAUCCCAAAUUUUGCUGCUAAAUUCCUGCCUAUACCCUGUGGAAAUGUGACAUACUCAAGCAAGAGCAUUGGCUUCACCUACAUCUUUUCACUUGUUUGGACGCAUCUGAAUGGACAUCUGAGACUGCUAGUCCAAAGGGCUAGCAGGAGGGUAACUAAACCAUGAGGAACCCUUUCUUUUUUUUUUUUUUUUUUGAGAAGCAGUGAAAGCAGGACUCUUCUGACGGUGGAAUGUAAAUAGUGUGGGCUUUUUUUUAUUUUUUGCAGCAGGGUCUUUGACCAUUGUAAAUUUUUCUGUGGGCUGCUCCAAACAUUAUAAAACAGAUGACAUUCUUCUUUUU